GAUGAACGCUGGCGGCGUGCCUAAUACAUGCAAGUCGAGCGAACGGACGAGAAGCUUGCUUCUCUGAUGUUAGCGGCGGACGGGUGAGUAACACGUGGAUAACCUACCUAUAAGACUGGGAUAACUUCGGGAAACCGGAGCUAAUACCGGAUAAUAUUUUGAACCGCAUGGUUCAAAAGUGAAAGACGGUCUUGCUGUCACUUAUAGAUGGAUCCGCGCUGCAUUAGCUAGUUGGUAAGGUAACGGCUUACCAAGGCAACGAUGCAUAGCCGACCUGAGAGGGUGAUCGGCCACACUGGAGCUGAGACACGGUCCAGACUCCUACGGGAGGCAGCAGUAGGGAAUCUUCCGCAAUGGGCGAAAGCCUGACGGAGCAACGCCGCGUGAGUGAUGACGGUCUUCGGAUCGUAAAACUCUGUUAUUAGGGAAGAACAUAUGUGUAAGUAACUGUGCACAUCUUGACGGUACCUAAUCAGAAAGCCACGGCUAACUACGUG
This 497-nucleotide ribosomal RNA is filed under the name uncultured bacterium. Its description in RNAcentral is "partial 16S ribosomal RNA". It matches the Rfam family "Bacterial small subunit ribosomal RNA", at positions 28 to 507 of the family's 1533-position model. The record is from RNAcentral.